AGUGAACGCUGGCGGUAGGCCUAACACAUGCAAGUCGGACGGCAGCACAGUAAGAGCUUGCUCUUACGGGUGGCGAGUGGCGGACGGGUGAGGAAUACAUCGGAAUCUACUUUUUCGUGGGGGAUAACGUAGGGAAACUGACGCUAAUACCGCAUACGACCUACGGGUGAAAGCAGGGGAGCUUCGGACCUUGCGCGAGUGAAUGAGCCGAUGUCGGAUUAGCUAGUUGGCGGGGUAAAGGCCCACCAAGGCGACGAUCCGUAGCUGGUCUGAGAGGAUGAUCAGCCACACUGGAACUGAGACACGGUCCAGACUCCUACGGGAGGCAGCAGUGGGGAAUAUUGGACAAAGGGCGCAAGCCUGAUCCAGCCAUACCGCGUGGGUGAAGAAGGCCUUCGGGUUGUAAAGCCCUUUUGUUGGGAAAGAAAAGCAGCAGGUUAAUCCCCCGCUGUUCUGACGGUACCCAAAGAAUAAGCACCGGCUAACUUCGUG
This 492-nucleotide ribosomal RNA is filed under the name uncultured bacterium. Its description in RNAcentral is "partial 16S ribosomal RNA". It matches the Rfam family "Bacterial small subunit ribosomal RNA", at positions 29 to 507 of the family's 1533-position model. The record is from RNAcentral.